RNAcentral lists this ribosomal RNA (1271 nucleotides) under Vibrio cholerae. Its description in RNAcentral is "partial 23S ribosomal RNA". It matches the Rfam family "Bacterial large subunit ribosomal RNA", at positions 1 to 1328 of the family's 2925-position model. Lineage: Bacteria; Pseudomonadati; Pseudomonadota; Gammaproteobacteria; Vibrionales; Vibrionaceae. The record is from RNAcentral.
GGUUAAGUGACUAAGCGUACACGGUGGAUGCCUGGGCAGUCAGAGGCGAUGAAGGACGUACUAACUUGCGAUAAGCGCAGAUAAGGCAGUAAGAGCCGUUUGAGUCUGCGAUUUCCGAAUGGGGAAACCCAACUGCAUAAGCAGUUACUGUUAACUGAAUACAUAGGUUAACAGAGCAAACCGGGGGAACUGAAACAUCUAAGUACCCCGAGGAGAAGAAAUCAACCGAGAUUCCGGUAGUAGCGGCGAGCGAACCUGGAUUAGCCCUUAAGCACUCGGUGAAGUAGGUGAACAAGCUGGAAAGCUUGGCGAUACAGGGUGAUAGCCCCGUAACCGACGCUUCAUCGAGCGUGAAAUCGAGUAGGGCGGGACACGUGAUAUCCUGUCUGAAUAUGGGGGGACCAUCCUCCAAGGCUAAAUACUCCUGACUGACCGAUAGUGAACCAGUACCGUGAGGGAAAGGCGAAAAGAACCCCUGUGAGGGGAGUGAAAUAGAACCUGAAACCGUGUACGUACAAGCAGUAGGAGCACCUUCGUGGUGUGACUGCGUACCUUUUGUAUAAUGGGUCAGCGACUUAUAUUCAGUGGCAAGGUUAACCGUAUAGGGGAGCCGUAGCGAAAGCGAGUCUUAACUGGGCGCUCAGUCUCUGGAUAUAGACCCGAAACCGGGUGAUCUAGCCAUGGGCAGGUUGAAGGUUGAGUAACAUCAACUGGAGGACCGAACCGACUAAUGUUGAAAAAUUAGCGGAUGACUUGUGGCUAGGGGUGAAAGGCCAAUCAAACUCGGAGAUAGCUGGUUCUCCCCGAAAGCUAUUUAGGUAGCGCCUCGGACGAAUACUACUGGGGGUAGAGCACUGUUAAGGCUAGGGGGUCAUCCCGACUUACCAACCCUUUGCAAACUCCGAAUACCAGUAAGUACUAUCCGGGAGACACACGGCGGGUGCUAACGUCCGUCGUGGAGAGGGAAACAACCCAGACCGCCAGCUAAGGUCCCAAAGUAUUGCUAAGUGGGAAACGAUGUGGGAAGGCUCAGACAGCUAGGAUGUUGGCUUAGAAGCAGCCAUCAUUUAAAGAAAGCGUAAUAGCUCACUAGUCGAGUCGGCCUGCGCGGAAGAUGUAACGGGGCUAAGCAAUACACCGAAGCUGCGGCAAUGUCUUUUAGACAUUGGGUAGGGGAGCGUUCUGUAAGCCGUUGAAGGUGAAUCGUAAGGUUUGCUGGAGGUAUCAGAAGUGCGAAUGCUGACAUGAGUAACGACAAAGGGGGUGAAAAA